This 484-nucleotide ribosomal RNA is filed under the name uncultured bacterium. RNAcentral's name for it is "partial 16S ribosomal RNA". It matches the Rfam family "Bacterial small subunit ribosomal RNA", at positions 28 to 507 of the family's 1533-position model. The record is from RNAcentral.
AUUGAACGCUGGCGGCAUGCUUUCCAAAGGCAAGUCGAACGGCGGCGCGGGCUUGGGCUUGGCGGCAGGUGCCGAACGGGGGAGUAAGCCAUCGGAACGUGCCCGGUGGUGGGGGCUGGCCGGGGGAAGGCGGGAUUAUUACGGAAUCAGCCCUGAGGGUGAAGGGGGGGAACGGAAAGGCCUCGCGCAUUGGAACCGGCCGAUGUCGGAUUAGCUAGUUGGUGGGGUAAAGGCUUACCAAGGCGACGAUCCGUAGCUGGUCUGAGAGGACGACCAGCAACACUGGGACUGAGACACGGCCCAGACUCCUACGGGAGGCAGCAGUGGGGAAUUUUGGACAAUGGGGGCAACCCUGAUCCAGCCAUGCCGCGUGCGGGAAGAAGGCCUUCGGGUUGUAAACCGCUUUUGUUCGGGAAGAAAUCCUCUGGGCUAAUACCCCGGGGGGAUGACGGUACCGGAAGAAUAAGCACCGGCUAACUACGUG